This 3358-nucleotide long non-coding RNA is filed under the name Sarcophilus harrisii (Tasmanian devil). RNAcentral's name for it is "lncRNA (ENSSHAG00000029115.1)". Lineage: Eukaryota; Metazoa; Chordata; Mammalia; Dasyuromorphia; Dasyuridae. The record is from RNAcentral.
AUGUCACUGUGGCUGACUCAGGGUAUGACCUUGUUUUGUGUUCUCUUCUCUCCUGCCCUCUCUCCAGGGGUGGAGUAUCAAAAACUAAAUUCCUUGAUUCAGUGUUAUGUAGAACACCAAAAAAAGUUUUUUUUUUUAAUCCUAUGUUGUUCUCAGUUAUGUUCUUUGACAAGUAAUUAACUGCUAGCCGUCAAAAUCUGAAUUUUUAAUUCAGCACCCACUAUGAGCAAGGCUUUGUGCUAUGUUAUCACUGUGAAGGACAUAAAGUUGAAUCAGAUGUUAACUGCUAUUGAAGAACUCACAGUUUACAUGGAGAUAUAAAGUAUAUAGAGAAAUAACUACAAGGUGGAGGGAUUAUGGAAUAUCAUAUGAGUAGUAUGAAAAAUUUCAGGAAUUCAAAGGAGACGUUUAUUUCUGGCUCAAGAGAAGGAUUCAAGGAUGAGAGGUCAUGGUAAGAACUUGGAAUUGCAUAGGAUUUGUAUAGAUAAUGGUUGAAAGUAAGGGAGAAAGGAAUGAAAGAAAGCUAUCUUGAUUACAUGUCAUAAUAUAAUGCAUUAAUUAAACAUUUGCUUCUUGUUUAAAAAAAAACAAAGAAAGGUAAAACAUUGAAAAGAGUAGAUGAAAAAGAUCUAGAAUCCAGCAGACAGAUUUAAUAAGCCUAAGAACAUAAGCUUCUAGAGAAGGAGAUUUUUAUUGAAUAAGAAAUUUGGAGAAAACAAAAGGCAGUUUGGAGAAAAUUGGUUGAAUUAACAUCCUUCUUCACACAAGAAGGUAUUAAAGAAGGAGAUAUUUAUUAAACUCCUGCUGUGUGCUGUUUUAAGGCCUUAUAAAUACUGUUACAGCCUCAUAAUAACUCUGGAAAGAAGAUACUGUCAUUAUCCUCAUUUUACAAUUGAGGAAACUGUGGUAGGCAGAGACUAAAUGAUUUGCCCAAGGCCAGAUAGUUAAGAAGAGACUAAUGGAUUAAUGAUCUCAGUAUAAUAGGUCAUGCCAUUAAGUAAUUAGUGAAGAAAGGAAAGUUAAACCUUUUAUACAGGUUAUAGAGAACAGAUUAUGCUGUAGGGGCUGGUACACUGUUAAUGAAACUGUGAAUUAUCUCACCAACUCUAGAAUAAUCUUUGUAAUUGUGUAAAAUUUGUAACAAUUUAUAAUUAUGAAAAUAUUAUUAUAUUAUUUUUGUUGUUGUUCAAUCAUUUUAAUCAUGUCCAACAUUUGGUGAUCCCAUUUGGUGUUUCCUUGGCAAAGAUACUUGAGUAAUCAUCAUUUCUUCCUCCAGCUCAUUUUAUAGAUGAGAAGUUGAGAGAAAUAUGGUUAAGUGACUUGGCCAGGAUCACCUAGCUAGAAAGUGUCUGAGUCCACAUUUGAACUCAGGAAGAUGAGUUUUCCUGACUUCAUGCUGGGCACUCUAUCUUUUGUACCAUCAUGCAUGUCUCUUAAUCCAUCAAAUCUUUACUUUACUUAUAACCUAGAGGUAUUGUUGAUAGAACUAGAGAAUCUAGAAAAAGGUUCAUAAUAGCACUAUUUGUUACUAAAAAAAAAAAAAGAUGGAAUGAAGAAAAUAUCCAUUGAUGCUAUAAUUAACUUGAAAUAAGGAACUGGAUUCAAAUCUCAUCUCAGGCUUUUGUUAAUUGUAAUAUGAAUUAUUAAUAAUAAUAAUACUCUUCAAGGUUUACAAAGCAUUUUACAAAUAUUUGUAUUUUAUCUUCAACAUCAACUGAUUUUAAGAGGUGAAAAGAUUGAGGCAGACAGAAGCUAUGUGACUUUCCUAGGGUGACAAAUUUAAUGUCUGAGACCAGAUCUGAAUUUGGACCUUCUUGAUUCAAGGUUCAAUGCUCUGCCUAGGAGUCUCUGAUCCUAGACAAAUCACUUAAUCACUUUUUACUUCAAGUGUAUCUUCCAUAAAAUAAAAAGUUUGUAAUUGAUGGCCUCAAAUUUCCUGUUCUAUAAAUCUAUACCAUAAACAAAUUAUGGCAUCUAAAUAUAUAAUAAGAUAUUAGUAUACUGUAUCAUAAAAUAUGGACAAUUGAGAGAAACAUGAGAAAAUAUUAAUGAACCAACUGGGAAAAACAUUAAAGGAAAAGAACAAGUUUACAUGACUACUGAUAUGAAGACAACACAACAAGGAAAGAUAAUUCAGGAUAAACACAAUGAUCAUGGUUUGUUCCAGGUAUCUAAUAUUAGAGGACACUUUCUUGCUAUAUGUUAAGAAAGAGUGAACAUGGGGAAGACAGGUGGUUCAAGAAUAGAGCACUGGUCCUGGAGUUGGGAGGAUCUGAGUUCAAAUGUGACCCAUGAUACUUACUAGUUGUAUGACCCAGUUCAAGUCAUUGAAUCCCACUUGACUCUGAAACAAAAGGAGAAAAUGGUGAAACAAAAAAAGGAAUUUUAUGUGUCCGUUUUGUUCUAAUUCCUAUGCUAGAUUGUCUCAAAAUUAAAAAAAAAAUACAGGAAGUUUGGCAAAUUUUGAGGAGAGCAAUUAGGGGAAGGAAAAAUUAUUUUAUAUUUUUUAAAAAGAAUAAUGAUGUGACCAAAAUAAAAAGCUUAGCAGCAAAUAUUUAUUAAAAACUCACUGUGUCAGUGCACAUUGCUAAGCCAUAGAGAUACAAAGAAAAACAAAAACAUUACCUGCUCCCAAGAAGUUUAAAUUCUAAUAGAAAUCCCAUGUAAAUAACAGCAUCUCUAUCUAUCCAAACAUAUGUAGAUGGAAAAUAAUAUUCAAUGACAUUGGGAAAUUACUAUUUUAAUUCAAUGAAUCUCUGGAUAAAAUAAUGCUGAUUAUAACUCUUCUAUACCUUCUCAACCUAUAAAAUUCUUGUUCCUAUACAUUUAAAUCCUCACAAAAUAUUUGAUGUUAAUGUAUUCCUUAUUUAAUUGUAAGCUCCUUGAGGGCAGAGACCCUCUUUUACUUCUUUUUGUAUCCUUAAUGAAGGGAGGGAAACUGUUCCCUUUACUGAAAUUGUAUUCCCUUUAAGAUUAAUCACUCUAAAACUGUGUUCCCUUUUGAUCUGUGAUCCCUUUUGGAGUCUCCCCCCAGAUAAGUUAUCUUUAGGGGCUGCCAGACCCUUUGAUUCAAUUAGAAAUCUUGGUCAAAAAGCACCCCUUUGAAGUGUUGUUAAUUCCAAUUGGAGAUCUGGGCCGCAUACUGAUAAGCAUCAAGACCUAGAAAUUUUGUCUUCCUUUUCAAUCUGAAGCCUUAAGACUCCUUUUAAAGGGCAAUCUCUAAACUCACUCUUUGCAGAGGUCCAAAGCAGCUUGCUCUCCUUCUAGGACCCUACCCACUGAGAAAGCUUACUCUUCUCAGUGUCAGACUCCAUUUCCCUAAUAGGACUCUGUUACUAUAGAAGUAAGUCUCUUAGCA